RNAcentral lists this ribosomal RNA (465 nucleotides) under uncultured bacterium. RNAcentral's name for it is "partial 16S ribosomal RNA". It matches the Rfam family "Bacterial small subunit ribosomal RNA", at positions 28 to 507 of the family's 1533-position model. The record is from RNAcentral.
GACGAACGCUGGCGGCGUGCUUAACACAUGCAAGUCGAACGGAAAGGCCCCUUUGGGGGUACUCGAGUGGCGCACGGGUGAGUAACACGUGAGUAACCUGCCCUUGACUUCGGGAUAACUUCAGGAAACUGGGGCUAAUACCGGAUAGGAAUCCUUGCUGCAUGGUGGGGGUUGGAAAGCUUCGGCGGUUUUGGAUGGACUCGCGGCUUAUCAGCUUGUUGGUGGGGUAGUGGCUUACCAAGGCUUUGACGGGUAGCCGGCCUGAGAGGGCGACCGGCAACAUUGGGACUGAGAUACGGCCCAGACUCCUACGGGAGGCAGCAGUGGGGAAUAUUGCACAAUGGGCGGAAGCCUGAUGCAGCAACGCCGCGUGCGGGAUGACGGCCUUCGGGUUGUAAACCGCUUUCAGCAGGGGCGAAGCUUGUGGUGACGGUACCUGCAGAAGAAGCACCGGCUAACUACGUG